Molecule: long non-coding RNA, 839 nt
Organism: Photinus pyralis (common eastern firefly)
Lineage: Eukaryota; Metazoa; Arthropoda; Insecta; Coleoptera; Lampyridae
Exons: 2
Source: RefSeq, a predicted model, not a curated record
UCUUCAUCAAUUACUGAGACCCACGUGACCAAAUUUAAAUUUCCCGCUUUAAAUAUUUUUUCUUUAUGUUGGUAGACACGGACAGUUGGUUAAAACAAAAUACCCAAAUUGCAUAUUUGUUUAUUUCACCUCCUGUCAAUCUUUGCUUGUGUUUACCGUUUUUUUCGAAUUUCUUUAACAUUAUCUUAAAUCAACAGCCAAAACAGUUCUUUUCAGAGCUCUUAACGCUACGAAGUUAUUCUGAUUGUAUCGCUGUAGGAAGAUGGUGUUCACACCAGAGCAAGAUGCUUUUAUUUUAAUGGCACAUUUCCGCAGUGGUAACCGAAAUCCUGAUGGAACUUGGAGUAUUCACUGCAAUCGUGCAUUGAACAGUUUUCCGAAGAGAACCCUGAUGUUAAUAUCGACUACGAUGUAUUUAAGAACCACAGGUCACGUCUAAUAACACGAUAUGAAAACAAGCACUGCAUUUGCAAAGGGAAGUCAACAGGCAGACCGCUAACGAAACGCUUAGAUACCUCCAAGAAUUUUAUGGCGAUCGAAUUAUAAGCACUGGUUUGUGGCCUCCAAGAAGUCCUGAUCUCACACCAUUGGACUACUUUUUGUUUGGACGAAUUAAAAAUAAUAUAUUUAAAAAUCGACUGCACACACUCAAAGAAUUGGAAAGGGCGAUACGACAAGAAAUAAACGAUGUGACGCAAGAUGAACUCGAACGUGUAUUUGAAAAUAUGAAGCGUAGAGUGAAUUUGUGCCUGGAAGUGAACGGUGGCCACUUUGAGCACCUUUUGUAACAAUAAAUAGUACAAUAUAUUUCGUGUUUCUCUAAAAUACUUAAUUCGGCC